GUGGGUAGUUUGACUGGGGCGGUCUCCUCCUAAAGAGUAACGGAGGAGCACGAAGGUUGGCUAAUCCUGGUCGGACAUCAGGAGGUUAGUGCAAUGGCAUAAGCCAGCUUGACUGCGAGCGUGACGGCGCGAGCAGGUGCGAAAGCAGGUCAUAGUGAUCCGGUGGUUCUGAAUGGAAGGGCCAUCGCUCAACGGAUAAAAGGUACUCCGGGGAUAACAGGCUGAUACCGCCCAAGAGUUCAUAUCGACGGCGGUGUUUGGCACCUCGAUGUCGGCUCAUCACAUCCUGGGGCUGAAGUAGGUCCCAAGGGUAUGGCUGUUCGCCAUUUAAAGUGGUACGCGAGCUGGGUUUAGAACGUCGUGAGACAGUUCGGUCCCUAUCUGCCGUGGGCGCUGGAGAAUUGAGGGGGGCUGCUCCUAGUACGAGAGGACCGGAGUGGACGCAUCACUGGUGUUCGGGUUGUCAUGCCAAUGGCACUGCCCGGUA
Molecule: ribosomal RNA, 487 nt
Filed under: Salmonella enterica subsp. enterica serovar Uganda
Lineage: Bacteria; Pseudomonadati; Pseudomonadota; Gammaproteobacteria; Enterobacterales; Enterobacteriaceae
Description: partial 23S ribosomal RNA
Rfam family: Bacterial large subunit ribosomal RNA
Source: RNAcentral